GAGGGGCAACCCUUGAGUAGAGUGGCGAACGGGUGAGUGAAGCAUCGGAACGUAUCCAGUAAUGGGGGAUAACCCAUCGAAAGAUGGGCUAAUACCGCAUACGCCCUGAGGGGGAAAGUGGGGGAUCCGCAAGGACCUCACGUUAUUGGAGCGGCCGAUGUCCGAUUAGCUAGUUGGCGGGGUAAAAGCCCACCAAGGCGACGAUCGGUAGCUGGUCUGAGAGGAUGAUCAGCCACACUGGGACUGAGACACGGCCCAGACUCCUACGGGAGGCAGCAGUGGGGAAUUUUGGACAAUGGGGGCAACCCUGAUCCAGCCAUGCCGCGUGAGUGAAGAAGGCCUUCGGGUUGUAAAGCUCUUUCGGCCGGAACGAAAUCGCACUCUCUAACAUGGGGUGUGGAUGACGGUACCGGAAGAAGAAGCACCGGCUAACUACGUGCCAGCAGCCGCGGUAAUACGUAGGGUGCGAGCGUUAAUCGGAAUUACUGGGCGUAAAGCGUGCGCAGGCGGUUCGCUAAGACAGGUGUGAAAUCCCCGGGCUUAACCUGGGAAUGGCGCUUGUGACUGGCGGGCUGGAGUACGGCAGAGGGAGGUGGAAUUCCACGUGUAGCAGUGAAAUGCGUAGAGAUGUG
This 632-nucleotide ribosomal RNA is filed under the name uncultured bacterium. RNAcentral's name for it is "bacterial SSU rRNA". It matches the Rfam family "Bacterial small subunit ribosomal RNA", at positions 74 to 700 of the family's 1533-position model. The record is from RNAcentral.